Non-coding RNA from Pelobates cultripes (western spadefoot toad), 250 nucleotides. The record is from the annotation of a GenBank genome assembly. NCBI's taxonomy places the organism in Eukaryota, Metazoa, Chordata, Amphibia, Anura, Pelobatidae.
GGGUUAGGGUUGGUUUAGGGGUAGGGGUUAGGAGUAAGGUUAGGGGUUGAGGUAGGGUAUGGCUAAGGGUUGGGGUAGGGUUAGGGGUUGGGGUAGGGUAACCUUAACCCUUUUCCUAACCCUAACCCUGCUCCUAACCCAACCCUAACCCUAAUCCCUACCAUAACCCUACCCCUAACCCUACCCCUAAUCUAACACUACCCCUAACCCUACCUCUAACUCUACCCCUACCCUAAACCAACCCUAACCC